This 116-nucleotide microRNA precursor is filed under the name Dasypus novemcinctus (nine-banded armadillo). RNAcentral describes it as "miRNA (ENSDNOG00000030311.2)". The stretch from base 35 to 86 matches the Rfam family "mir-1302 microRNA precursor family". The record is from RNAcentral. Lineage: Eukaryota; Metazoa; Chordata; Mammalia; Cingulata; Dasypodidae.
CAGUAAAAUGUGAAUUUCAGGUAAAAUUAAUACGUUUUUAGUAUAAGUAUGUCCCAUGUAAUGUUUGAGACAUACUUAUACUAAAAAAUCAUUUUUGGUGUCUCUUAACUGGAUAU